This is a long non-coding RNA of Dalotia coriaria, 338 nucleotides long. RefSeq lists it as uncharacterized. NCBI's taxonomy places the organism in Eukaryota, Metazoa, Arthropoda, Insecta, Coleoptera, Staphylinidae. The record is from RefSeq and is a predicted model, not a curated record. The transcript has 2 exons.
AAGAAAUAUUAUCUCGGUACAUUUUUUCGGACAAACUACUUUAGAGCAUCAGAAUUUUGCCGACAUCAUAAUAUGUUUUUAGCAUCAAUCGAAACGCGAGAACAAGACUUAUGUUUGGGACGCCACUUACGCAAAAUGGCUGGAUCAUCUUUUAGGUCCUAAAACGGCUAAUUACUGGGUGGGCGCAUCUGAUCUUGGUUACGAGGGCCAUUUCGUUUGGCAAUCCACCGGCCGACCACUAAAGUACACAAACUGGCAUUCCCAUGGUCCCAAUAAUUGGUGCGACGAAACAAAUGUAUGUGAAAAUUGCGUCGGUCUUUGGUAUGUAGGAAAGAAAA